CACCUUUGCACACCCGGGGUCGCAGUUGUACAGUCGCCAGUCACAAGGGUUGGAGUUUAUCAACAGUUUGUACAGCUGCUGACGUCACCUAGCGACUGGUCAGUGCUCAACGGCUAUUUAGGGGCCUAAAGUACACGGGCAAAAGCGCGCGACGAGGAUCGGAAUAGCGAUGAUUGCGAUGAUUGCUCCGAUGCAACCAAAAACGAUGCCGACGAUCUGGCCUGUCGUCAACGAAGCACCGGAACCGGAUGUGGAACUGGAAAACAUGGGAACGAGGCUCAUAUGAAGGCUGAGAGACUUCCGUUGAAUGAUUGUGAAAGUACUGCUCAGGACUUUUCAAUUCAAUUUUUUCAAUACAACUUUAUUCAUCCACAA
Long non-coding RNA from Pomacea canaliculata, 375 nucleotides. RefSeq lists it as uncharacterized. Lineage: Eukaryota; Metazoa; Mollusca; Gastropoda; Architaenioglossa; Ampullariidae. The record is from RefSeq and is a predicted model, not a curated record. The transcript has 2 exons.